UAGUCCACGCCCUAAACGAUGAGUGCUAAAAGUGGGUUAUUUUACCUGCUUUAAAGCUAACGCGUUAAGCACUCCGCCUGGGGACUACGGUCGCAAGACUAAAACUCAAAGGAAUUGACGGGGAUUCGCACAAGCGGUGAAGUAUGUGGUUUAAUUCGACGCAACGCGAAGAACCUUACCACACUUUGACAUGUAAAUCGUCGCUCUGUGAAGGCAGAGCUUCAGUUCGGCUGGAUUUAACACAGGUGUUGCAUGGCUGUCGUCAGCUCGUGUCGUGAGAUGUUGGGUUAAGUCCCGCAACGAGCGCAACCCUCGUCCUUAGUUGCCAUCAGUCUGGCUGGGCACUCUAAGGAAACUGCCGGUGAUAAGCCGGAGGAAGGUGGGGAUGUCGUCAAAUCAUCAUGGCCUUUAUGCCUAGGGCUACACACGUGCUACAAUGGUGCAUACAGAGGGUUAAUCCCUAAAAGGCGUCUCAGUUCGGAUUGUCCUCUGCAACUCGAGGGCA
This 505-nucleotide ribosomal RNA is filed under the name uncultured bacterium. RNAcentral's name for it is "bacterial SSU rRNA". It matches the Rfam family "Bacterial small subunit ribosomal RNA", at positions 791 to 1320 of the family's 1533-position model. The record is from RNAcentral.